AUCGUUCAUCUCUGUUAGUAGAGACGGAAGUAAGGAAAAAUUUUCCUGAAGGAACGCGCC
Molecule: non-coding RNA, 60 nt
Filed under: Pleurocapsa sp.
Lineage: Bacteria; Bacillati; Cyanobacteriota; Cyanophyceae; Pleurocapsales; Pleurocapsaceae
Also listed under: 1 other name
Description: Glutamine-I sequence
Rfam family: Glutamine riboswitch aptamer (glnA leader)
Source: RNAcentral